RNAcentral lists this transfer RNA (74 nucleotides) under Nitrospira sp. RNAcentral describes it as "tRNA-Arg". It matches the Rfam family "tRNA". Rfam says of the family: Transfer RNA (tRNA) molecules are approximately 80 nucleotides in length. Their secondary structure includes four short double-helical elements and three loops (D, anti-codon, and T loops). Lineage: Bacteria; Pseudomonadati; Nitrospirota; Nitrospiria; Nitrospirales; Nitrospiraceae. RNAcentral also lists the same sequence under 1 other name. The record is from RNAcentral.
GCGCCUGUAGCUCAGUGGAUUAGAGCAUCGGCCUCCGGAGCCGAGGGUCGCCCGUUCAAGUCGGGUCAGGCGCG